CUUUGUAUAUUAGAGGAGAGGUUUAGAGAUAAUUCUCUUGAAGAUCUCCUUAAGAAUAGUAUUUUAGGAAUUGGGGUGCGUAAGAGAAAUAUUGUGUAUUAUAUGGUUGUAACAAUUUUUCAUAUGGUAAAUAUUUUUCUGGGUUGUUAUUCUCUUUAAAUCUUGUGUUGUUAUUCUCUUUAAAUUUCUCUGUUAUUAAUAUCUGUUUGAAGGUGGUUCGAAAGGGACGAAAAUUAGUCGGUGGUUUUUUCCAACACUAUGAUGGUUCUAAGAGACACCAAUAAUCUGGCAAUAGAGUAACGGAUGAAGGAAUUCAAGAAUCUUCUACUAUCAUAAUGUUACUUCCCUCAUUCUUCCUUGAGGUUUAAGUGUACCUACAUCAGGUUAUGGAAAUAUCUACCAAUCCUAGCUACUAUUUGUAUAGUUUCGAAACAGCUAAAAUUACUUUCCUGUUGAGAACUUGUAAGGAUGUUUACAUUUCGAUGUGAAAUGUCUUGAUAGAUGUAAAGCUUGUGACUCUUGUGUUGAA
Long non-coding RNA from Solanum dulcamara, 529 nucleotides. RefSeq lists it as uncharacterized. The record is from RefSeq and is a predicted model, not a curated record. Lineage: Eukaryota; Viridiplantae; Streptophyta; Magnoliopsida; Solanales; Solanaceae. The transcript has 2 exons.